Serinus canaria (Common canary) is the source of this 1725-nucleotide long non-coding RNA. The record is from Ensembl. NCBI's taxonomy places the organism in Eukaryota, Metazoa, Chordata, Aves, Passeriformes, Fringillidae.
AUGUAUCCUCCAUGCUGUGCAAAAGAAAGAAAACUCCUAGGAAAAUCUCUGGGGAUGCAGCUGCAAUUGCAUAACUGCAGUUUGUGGGAAGAGAGAGUUCAUAGCAUCACAGAGUGCACAGUCCCAGUGACAUCCUCAGCAAAACUCCUCCUGAUGUCAGUUGUGACAGGAAACUUUCCUUCCAAGACUCUAAACCACCCAGGAGCUGAAGCACAUGCGUGGCCUGAAGCAAACUGACCAGUGAGUGGUUUGGUCCAAACCCAGCUGAGAGAGUGAACAAUGCCAGGGAGGUGAUCCUUUCUCAUCCAGAUUAACUGCCUUUCACCCCACCUGCUGGGCAGACUCUCUUCAGGCUCCUGAGCUGCUCAUUACUGCUCCACCAUGUUCAUCCUGUCAUACUCCAUCAGGAUCCUGCAUGGAGGGUUUCUCCCCGCCUUCCAAAUUUUUCUCUCCUCUUCCCUGCUUUCCCAGCUUGGUGCAGUCUGAUCGCUGCUCUCUUUCAGCCAAUGUUAUUCACUUACUACAUGGAAAGCAAAACCAUAUGGAAGACAAGAUAAAGGCCAUUUAUCUUGAAGCCUACUGAGAUGUGAACAUCUCCCAUUAAGGCUGCAGUUCAGCCAGGCUGUCUCGCACAUGUUGCUGUCAUCUCUUUCCACCAGAACAGAGAUGGACUCCUGCGUCAGCCAAAACAAUCUUCUUAGUUGUCAUCUGCUUUGUACUUAACACAGCCUUGCAUGCAAAACAUUCAAAGGAAAAAAGAAAAAACUAUUACUGUUAUGUCUUUUCCUUUGUUCUGAGAAGCCACCUUGCCAGCUCUCCCUUUGAAAGCUGCUGUCUGGUGAAGGAAAUUGCUACCAUCCUGAGAUAGGGCUGAGUUUGGUAAAUGCUACUUGCAUCAAGUUUGGAAAAGGAAAGUUUGUUCUGUAUUCAUUAAUGAAUGCCUCUCCCUGAGUGGCUGAAAGAGGAUUAUAGAACAACUUAUGUUGGAAGGAACCUAAAGAUCACCUUGUUCCACCUCCCCCCUGCCUCAGGUAAGGACGCCUUUCACUCUGGUGCCACAUCCCUCACCUCAUAGCCCGGGUGACAGUUCGUUCUCUCUUCAUUCCAGCACAACUACAACCAACAAACCUGACUACUGAUUCUGGACUGAGCUCAGGGUAAAUAUUUUUCCUAUCCUGUCAGCCACAGCCAUCCUGAAGCAGUCAGGGUACUUGUGUAAGCAGCACUAUUGCCAUCUUUCAAUCACUGCUCUUGGGGAACUGCUCAAACUCUCACGCUUUGAAUGAUUCCAGCUGUUCUCCACUCCCUCAGAGACAGCAUGAGAAAGCAGUCCCUGACACUGAGAUUACUUCAGUGAUAUCAAAGGGUGUGGAAGAAGGCUGCUAAUUAGUAAACCCUCAAGGUAUGAAGAUAUAAAUAGCCCUGGAGCAGUGAGAACAGAUCCAAAUCUGCAGACUAACAUUAUCUUGGGAUGAAAGCAUUACAUUUAGGCUGAUUCCACUAGAGAAGAGUGACUGAACAUUCCUGUUGAGGGCUUGUUUUCAUUGAUAAAGCUCCUUGUUGGGUUGUGCAGCAUAUUAUAAAUUUAUUGAGCCACCUGCCAAGGCUGAACCAGGAGGAGUGGUAGCAAGAACUUAGUCUGGGUUGAGCAAUCAUGAGGGAAGUUUCUGGCUUGUACUUUAACUUAUAUAAAUAAAUAAAUACAUAUCUCAAGUCCCUUAGCCA